GGAAGGGUGAAAAGUACCCCGGGAGGGGAGUGAAAGAGUUCCUGAAACCGGUCGCAUGCAAGCCGUCAGAGCCUGUGUGGUGAUGGCGUGCCUUUUGAAGAAUGAGCCUGCGAGUUAGUGCUAUGUGGCGAGGUUAACCCGUGAGGGGAAUCCGUAGCGAAAGCGAGUCCUAAUAGGGCGAUUGAGUCGCAUGGUCUAGACCCGAAGCGAAGUGAUCUAUCCAUGGCCAGGCUGAAGCGCGGGUAAGACCGCGUGGAGGGCCGAACCCACUUGGGUUGAAAACCGAGGGGAUGAGCUGUGGAUAGGGGUGAAAGGCUAAACAAACCUGGAAAUAGCUGGUUCUCUCCGAAAACUAUUUAGGUAGUGCCUCAAGUAUCACCAUCGGGGGUAGAGCACUGUUAUGGCUAGGGGGUCAUCGCGACUUACCAAACCAUUGCAAACUCCGAAUACCAGUACGUACUAUCCGGGAGACACACGGCGGGUGCUAACGUCCGUCGUGAAAAGGGAAACAACCCAGACCCACAGCUAAGGUCCCAAAUUCACUGCUAAGUGGAAAACGAUGUGGAAAGGCAUAGACAGCCAGGAGGUUGGCUUAGAAGCAGCCACCCUUUAAAGAAAGCGUAAUAGCUCACUAGUCGAGUCGGCCUGCGCGGAAGAUGUAACGGGGCUCAAACUAGGAGCCGAAGCUGCGGAUUUAAUUGUUUCAAUUAAGUGGUAGGGGAGCAUUGUGUAAGCCUGUGAAGGUGUGUUGUAAAGCAUGCUGGAGGUAUCACAAGAGCGAAUGCUGACGUGAGUAACGACAAUGCGAGUGAAAAGCUCGCACGCCGGAAGACCAAGGGUUCCAGUCCAACGUUAAUCGGGGCUGGGUGAGUCGACCCCUAAGGCGAGGCCGAAAGGCGUAGUCGAUGGGAAAUCGGUUAAUAUUCCGAUACUUGUUUAUGAUGCGAUGGAGGGACGGAGAAGGUUAUGCCAGCUUGGCGAUGGUUGUCCAAGUGGAAGGAUGUAGUUAGGUUUAGUAGGCAAAUCCGCUAGACUAUUAAUGAGAUCUGAUAGCAAGCUGUACUUGUACAGCGAAGUGGCAAAUACCCUGCUUCCAGGAAAAGCUUCUAAGCGAUAGUCAUAAACAAAUCGUACCCUAAACCGACACAGGUGGUCAGG
RNAcentral lists this ribosomal RNA (1158 nucleotides) under Aurantiochytrium limacinum. RNAcentral describes it as "partial Bacterial large subunit ribosomal RNA". It matches the Rfam family "Bacterial large subunit ribosomal RNA", at positions 508 to 1671 of the family's 2925-position model. The record is from RNAcentral. Lineage: Eukaryota; Bigyra; Thraustochytrida; Thraustochytriidae.